GCCCUCGUAGCUCAAUGGAUAGAGCACCUGACUUCGGAUCAGGCGGUUGCAGAUUCGAGUUCUGCCGAGGGCAC
Molecule: transfer RNA, 74 nt
Filed under: Thermoflexales bacterium
Lineage: Bacteria; Bacillati; Chloroflexota; Thermoflexia; Thermoflexales
Description: tRNA-Arg
Rfam family: tRNA
About the family: Transfer RNA (tRNA) molecules are approximately 80 nucleotides in length. Their secondary structure includes four short double-helical elements and three loops (D, anti-codon, and T loops). Further hydrogen bonds mediate the characteristic L-shaped molecular structure. tRNAs have two regions of fundamental functional importance: the anti-codon, which is responsible for specific mRNA codon recognition, and the 3' end, to which the tRNAs corresponding amino acid is attached (by aminoacyl-tRNA synthetases). tRNAs cope with the degeneracy of the genetic code in two manners: having more than one tRNA (with a specific anti-codon) for a particular amino acid; and 'wobble' base-pairing, i.e. permitting non-standard base-pairing at the 3rd anti-codon position.
Source: RNAcentral